CCCGUAGCCCUAUAUACCCAUGAGAUAGAGCUUUGCUCGUGUACCAAAUCAGGUGGGCUGGGCUGCCAUGGUGGAAAUGCUGUGGUGGCUUGUCCACGAAUUACAAUCAUAAUAUGGGCGGGGGUGAAUCCUUUGCAGACGACUUGAAUGGGAACGGGGUACUGUAAGCGGUAGAGUAGCCUUGUUGCUACGAUCCGCUGAGGUUAAGCCCUUGUUCUAUAGAUUUGUUCAACAAUCUUGUUGGACUCUUCUCUCUUCUUUCUUUCUAUCCAGCUCGGACUUGAGGGCCGGUCAAAUACAGCAGAGGUGAGUUAGCAUCUGUUGCGGGGGGGGACACUGGACUAGAGUUGACGGUAUGAUGACUUUCAAUUCUCUUCCCCGUCCUACACGACUAUGCCGAGGAACAGAGCAGGCCUGUUUCCAACAGGCCAGGGGCUUCAGAGUCCCACAGUGCACCAGCCAGUGCCCUUUGUCUGACCGGUCACAGUUCAGGUCCCCUUGUGUAUCAUAUGGUUACUUGCUGCUUGGUCACUGACCGAAUUCUCUCCAGGAUAAUAUGCAUAUUACUGACAGUAGAGUGCUGUCAGCUAAGCUAAGGUGAGUUACUUUGUCCAGUCAUUUGAAAUCUCUUGGGGUUCAUCCCUCGUGCAUGAUGAAAAUCACCAUCCGUCAUUCGCAGUUUCCACUCUAGUGCCCUCCCGGCCAGGGAGAACUCCCCCAGUGCGGAACAUCCACAUUCCUCCUUGAAGGCAUGCCUGAACCCACUAGAGGGCAUGUGCAAGUGCUAGGCCACCGGUCUUGGGCUGGUGCGCUGGAUGGGAAGCGGGGGUUGGCACAGUGCGGGGUCUUGACAGACCUUCCUUUGGAUGUCUGAAUCUGCACAGAGACCCUUGUCAAUGAAUGAUUUACUGACUGACCCAUGGGUAUAUAGGGCUACUGCCAGUUC
This 946-nucleotide unclassified non-coding RNA is filed under the name Chlorophyllum rhacodes. Its description in RNAcentral is "partial miscellaneous RNA". The stretch from base 1 to 228 matches the Rfam family "Eukaryotic large subunit ribosomal RNA", at positions 3172 to 3401 of the family's 3401-position model. Lineage: Eukaryota; Fungi; Basidiomycota; Agaricomycetes; Agaricales; Agaricaceae. The record is from RNAcentral.